This 773-nucleotide long non-coding RNA is filed under the name Malus domestica (apple). RNAcentral describes it as "long non-coding RNA (MDOM_LNC019194)". The record is from RNAcentral. Lineage: Eukaryota; Viridiplantae; Streptophyta; Magnoliopsida; Rosales; Rosaceae.
UUCUGUAAUUUAUGUAUUCUAUCGGUAAGAACUCUGAGAUGUGAUUUGAUAAUUGUUCUAGGCAACAUUGGUUCGUGAUGUCUCGAUAUGCAUGCUAGGGAGUCGUAGUGCGGACCUCAGGUGAGUGGGUCUUUUCCUUUCUAUCAUGUAUAUUAUAUAUAUAUGAUUGAUAAUUCCACAAACGUUUUUAAAUUGAUUUAUGCAUAUUACCUACAUAUAAUUACUGUGAAUGCCUUGAAGUACUAGUGUGAACUACGAAUGGCUUGAUCCCUAUUUAUGAUAUGUAGACAGUCUAACAAGACGUUAGAUGUAGCCAUACAAUAAAUGAGACUAAAUAAUUGAGACAAAAGCCCUGUUUGGGGAAUUGAGCAAUGUGAAGGAGAUUGGUGGAAAAUGUGAGAUUUAACCUUAUGAUUUGGUGGUUAAAUGUUGUUCAUAAAUCAAUGUGUGAAGAAUCAAGAAAUUGAAGGAAGGAAACAUAAGUAAUGAUAGUUAAUUAAACUAGUGUCUAAUUGGACUUAUCACCUAUAAUUAUUCCCGAAAAUAAAUAGUUUAGGAGUAGGGCGUUAUAGCUUAUGCAUUUUAUGCCAUAUUAUAUAUAUAUAUAUAUAUAUAUAUGUAUGUAUGUAUGUAUAUAAUUGGAAAUUCUAUGACACUGUUGAGUAUUAGAUUGCAUCAUGGUAUAUCCAUAUGUAUAUUACUUGCACAUAAUUAUUGUGAACGGUUUGAAGUGCGAAGGUGAACACAGGAGACCCAGGUAAGUUCACGUGAGU